UACGUAGGUGGCAAGCGUUGUUCGGAAUUACUGGGCGUAAAGGGCGCGUAGGCGGCCUUCUAAGUCAGACGUGAAAUCCCCCGGCUUAACCUGGGAACUGCGUCUGAUACUGGGAGGCUUGAGUAUGGGAGAGGGAUGUAGAAUUCCAGGUGUAGCGGUGAAAUGCGUAGAUAUCUGGAGGAAUACCGGUGGCGAAGGCGGCAUCCUGGACCAUAACUGACGCUGAGGCGCGAAAGCUAGGGUAGCAAACGGG
This 253-nucleotide ribosomal RNA is filed under the name uncultured bacterium. RNAcentral describes it as "partial 16S ribosomal RNA". It matches the Rfam family "Bacterial small subunit ribosomal RNA", at positions 524 to 776 of the family's 1533-position model. The record is from RNAcentral.